Lolium perenne is the source of this 428-nucleotide long non-coding RNA. RefSeq lists it as uncharacterized. The record is from RefSeq and is a predicted model, not a curated record. Lineage: Eukaryota; Viridiplantae; Streptophyta; Magnoliopsida; Poales; Poaceae.
UUACCUAUGCUCUGAUUGUUAUGCAGCCCAGAAGUACUUGCGAGGUACGAUCGAUCUUCAAAGUUUCCACGUGUGGGCCUUCAGUUUUGGGACAAGCAAUCUGUUUAUUUGCUGAUUUUAUUGGUGUUAUUCUGGAGAUCAGUUCACAUUAAUGGAGAGAGGAGAGGAGAGCGUUGGAGUUGAAGAUGGGGGCCUGUGGCUACACAUCAAGAGGAUUAGAAAGAGGCUUGCAAAGUAAUAAGGGGUACCUCAAUGGAGCAAAGGGGAGGAAACAUAUAUACUCACAUGGGACUUCUUACUGAUGCCAGCCACUCCGUACCUAAGAUGUUUUCUAAUUUUACCAAACUAAUUAUGUUUAUUUAAAACCUUUCUGCACACAUGAUUUAACCUUUAUACAAAACAGAUUUGGGGUUUGGUAUUUGAGUUCA